GUAUACCAUAGUGGUAGGGCUGGGUUGAGGAUCUUAGUCCUCUGGAGGCAGAGAAUGAGGGAACAUGAACAUGUUUGGGGGGUGUGGUGCCAGACCCAGGUUUCAGAGCUGGGUGUCUUUCUGGACUAGUCUUCAGUACCCCUGAUAAUCGUCCUCAUUAGGAGUUACCUUCCUUAGCACCCCCUCUCCUAUGGACCCUAUGCCAAAACCAGAGCAAGCCCAGGACCCCCUCCUGCUUCAGACUGCACACAUGGGUGGGUGCUGUCCUUCCAAACAUUUCUGCAUAAACAGGGAGAUGGGGGGGCAGGGGAAGGAGUAUGAGGUGGGAAGGACGUGUGAGGAGACGUUUGGAAUAUUAGUGUUAGUAGGGAGAGGAGGACCCAAAGGAAGUUGAAAGGUGUGAGGAGGGAGAGGACUGAGGAUCACAGUGGAGAUAAAAGUGAGAAGGUGGAAGCCCCGUGGAGAGAGGCCGUGCUGGGCAGUCGUCUGGGGAACAAAGCUGAGAUGUGGGGACACCACCUGGAUGGACGGGGAUGAUGGACAGAAGGAAAUAGGGGAAGAGAGUGUGUGAGUCAGGACUCUUAGUUCAAGGAGCAAAAACCUAAUUCAGGGGGCCAGCCCCGUGGCCAAGUGGUUAAGUUCAUGCACUCUGCCUCGGCAGCCCAGGGUUUCGCCAGUUGGAAUCCUGGGCGCGGACAUGGCAUCAGGCCAUGCUGAGGCGGCAUCCCACAUGCCACAACUAGAAGAACCCACAACUGAAAAUAGACAACUAUGUACUGGGGGGCUUUGGGAGAAAAAGGGAAAAUACAAAAAAUCUUUAAAAAGAAAAAGCUAAUUCAGAGUAGCCUGAGAGGGUUUAGAGUAGAGAGAAUAAGAAGUGAUUGACUCAUGCAGAGUGUCAGGGACUUUAGCCUCAGGUGGACCCAGGGCUCGCACAAAACCUAGAUGUCUGCCCUGAGUUUUUCUCUGCUUUCUUAGAGUAGCUUUUAUGCUGAGGCUGCACACAGUGGUCCUGACCAUGCCAGGAUCCGUCAUUCUUAAAGUUGGCGGUACCAGGAAGAAAACAUCUCCCAGACACUUGCACAGGUUUCGCAGAAUGGGGUCUCACUGACUGGUUCAUGAGUCCAUCCUGGAAACUGUCCCCACAGCAAGGUGGGUUCCAAACAUCUCAGGUGCCAGCUGCGCCUCAUACCCACCCUGGAGCUCCCGAGGCUCGCAGGCAGAGUGUGGGGCUCAGGACGUCGACAGGAACAUCAGGAGCUGUCAUGGAAGUUGACCAGCUGCUGCACGGGCAGAGUCAGCAGCUGUCCGCACCAGGGCAGGAGCCAGGACGCACCAUUCAGGUGAGGACAUGGUUUCAGAGGCGCCCCACCUGAGUGUGUGUACGGGCAGGGGACAGGGGGUGGCCUCUUAAGCCUUGCUGUCCUUUUUCAGUUUUAAAAUUACCAUCACAAAGAGCAAUAAAAUUCUGGAUUUUGGCGGGGAUAAGGGGUCCAUAGAAACAGAGAUUUAUUAAGCCAAGGGUUUCGCUGGUUCGGAUCCUGGGCGAGGACAUGGCACUGCUCAUCAAGCCAUGCUGAGGUGGCAUCCACAUGCCACAACUAGAAGGACCCACAACUAAAAGUACACAACUAUGUACAGGGGGGCUUUCGGGAGGAAAAGGAAAAAAUAAAAUCUUUAAAAAAAAAAAGAAUGAAACAGAAAUUAAGACAUUCCUAGAUAAAUAAAAGGUGAGGGAGUUGCUUGCUAGCAGACCUGCCCUACAAGAAAUGCCAAAGGGAGUCCUUCAGGCUCAAAUGAAAGGGCACUCUACAGUAAUUUGAAGACGGACAAAGAAACAGUAACUACAUAGGCAAAUAUAAAAGCCAGUAACGUUACACUUGUUUGUAACAUCUCUUCCCACAUGAUAUAAAAAAAUAAAUGCAUAAAAAAAUUAUCAGUCAGUGGUGGGCCCGGUGGCGCAGUGGUUAAGUGCACACGUUUUGCUUCUCAGCAGCCUGGGGUUUGCCAGUUCAGAUCCUGGGUGCGGACAUGGCACCGCUUGGCAAAAGCCAUGCUGUGGUAGGCGUCCCACGUAUAAAGUAGAAGAAGAUGGGCAUGAAUGUUAUAUCAGGGCCAGUCUUCCUCAGCAAAAAGAGGAGGAUUGGCAGUAGUUACCUCAGGGCUAAUCUUCCUCAGGAAAAAAAAAUUAUCAUUCUAUGUUAAUGGGCACAAAAUGUAUGAAGAGGUAAUUUGUGGCAGUAACAUGCAGGAGUUGGAGCUAGGUAGCAGCAGUUUCUGUGUGUCAUUGAAUCUACGUUGGUGUCAAUUCAAACUACAUUGUUAUAAAUUUAGGGUGUCAAUUAUCCCCAUGGUAACCAUUAAGAAAAUAUCUUUAAAAAUGUAGACACAGAAGGAAAUGAGAAGGUAAUCAAAACACUUCACUACAAAAAUAAACACAAAAGGAGGCAGUAAUGGAGGAGACGAGGAACAAGAAAGGCACAAGACAUACAAAAGGCCAAUAGCAAAAUAUCUGAAAUAAGUCCUUCCUCAUGAAUCGUUACUUUAAAGAGCUGGGGUGACUAUACUAGUAUCAGACAAAAUAGGGUCUAAGUCUAAAACUUUUACAAGAGACGAAGAACAUCAUACAUUAAUAAAAUUCAUCUAGCAAUUAUAUACACUAAACAAAACAUCAAAAUAUAUGAAGUAAACAUUGACAGAAUUGAAGAGCCAAGAGCUACAGUAAUAAAGAUUUCAGUACCCCACUUUCUAUAGUGGAUAGAACAUCUAGAUGGGAGAUUGAUAAAAAUAAAGGACUUGAUGCUGUAAACCAUUAGACCUGACAGACAUGCACAGAACACUCCACCAGCGACAGAAUACACAUUCUUCUCUAGUGCGCACAGAACAUCCUCCAGGAUGGACCGUAUGUUAGGCCACAAAACAAGUCUCAACAAAUUGAAAAGGGAAAUUGGAGACUACAUUAAGAAUGAAAAUCAAGACUUAUGGGAUGCAGUGAAAGCUGUGCUCAGAAGGAAAUUUUUAGUAGUAAAUGCCUACAUUAAAGAAGAAAGAUCUCAAAUCAAUAAACUAACUGUACACUGUAAGAAACUAGAAAAAGGGGCCGGCCCAGUGGUGCAGUGGUUGAGUUCACGUGUUCUGCUUUGGCAGCCUGGGGUUGGCUGGUUUGGAUCCCGGG
This is a long non-coding RNA of Equus caballus (horse), 3175 nucleotides long. Lineage: Eukaryota; Metazoa; Chordata; Mammalia; Perissodactyla; Equidae. The record is from Ensembl.